This 392-nucleotide long non-coding RNA is filed under the name Phaseolus vulgaris (common bean). Its description in RNAcentral is "long non-coding RNA (PVUL_LNC001741)". Lineage: Eukaryota; Viridiplantae; Streptophyta; Magnoliopsida; Fabales; Fabaceae. The record is from RNAcentral.
UCUCAAUCUGGCACCCUAAGGUUGAGCCUCUAGCCCUCUAUUUAUCCUAGUUUUCUAGGGUUAGGUUGUUUAUUGUGUCGCGCUAAUGGGCUAAAUGAUAAAACAUAAAAAAGGCCCAAUCUUUCUUUGCAUCUUUUUCCAUUCUGGGACCUUCUAUCUUUAUCUUUUUGGCUCAAAUCAUUCAUCUUUAAUCCAAAUCUCCAAUCUUCCUUAGAAAUCUGCAAUUAACACCAAAUUUGGGAAUAAAAUACUCUUAUUCAAAUAAAGAUCAUAAAAAAUGUAAAAAGGUAUAAAUUCAUAAAUUAGGGAUUAUUUUAUAUGUAAAUUAGCAAUAAAUCCUCAUAAGUGCCUAUAUUUUAAUAUGAAAUAUCACUUAAAUUAGACACUUAUCA